CCUACGUGAGGCAGCAGUGAGGAAUAUUGGUCAAUGGGCUUACGCCUGAACCAGCCAAGUCGCGUGAGGGAAGACUGCCCUAUGGGUUGUAAACCUCUUUUGUCAGGGAGCAACGCCGGCUACGUGUAGCCGGACUGAGAGUCCCUGAAGAAAAAGCAUCGGCUAACUCCGUGCCAGCAGCCGCGGUAAUACGGAGGAUGCGAGCGUUAUCCGGAUUUAUUGGGUUUAAAGGGUGCGUAGGCGGAAUGACAAGUCAGCGGUAAAAUCGCGGGGCUCAACCUCGCUCCGCCGUUGAAACUGGCGUUCUUGAGUGGGCGAGAAGUAUGCGGAAUGCGUGGUGUAGCGGUGAAAUGCAUAGAUAUCACGCAGAACUCCGAUUGCGAAGGCAGCAUACCGGCGCCCAACUGACGCUGAAGCACGAAAGCGUGGGUAUCGAACAGGAUUAGAUACCCUGGUAGUC
RNAcentral lists this ribosomal RNA (460 nucleotides) under uncultured bacterium. Its description in RNAcentral is "partial 16S ribosomal RNA". It matches the Rfam family "Bacterial small subunit ribosomal RNA", at positions 338 to 795 of the family's 1533-position model. The record is from RNAcentral.